GAUUCUGGCUCAGGAUGAACGCUAGCGACAGGCUUAACACAUGCAAGUCGAGGGGCAGCAUAAAAGUAGCAAUACUUGGUGGCGACCGGCGCACGGGUGAGUAACGCGUAUGCAACCUACCUAUCAGAGGGGAAUAACCCGGCGAAAGUCGGACUAAUACCGCAUAAAACAGGGGCACCGCAUGGUGAUAUUUGUUAAAGAAAUUCGCUGAUAGAUGGGCAUGCGUUCCAUUAGGUAGUUGGUGAGGUAACGGCUCACCAAGCCGACGAUGGAUAGGGGAACUGAGAGGUUGGUCCCCCACACUGGUACUGAGACACGGACCAGACUCCUACGGGAGGCAGCAGUGAGGAAUAUUGGUCAAUGGGCGGGAGCCUGAACCAGCCAAGUCGCGUGAAGGAAAGAAGGAUCUAUGGUUCGUAAACUUCUUUUGCAGGGGAAUAAAGUGCAGGACGUGUCCUGUUUUGUAUGUACCCUGAGAAUAAGGAUCGGCUAACUCCGUGCCAGCAGCUGC
This 511-nucleotide ribosomal RNA is filed under the name uncultured bacterium. RNAcentral's name for it is "bacterial SSU rRNA". It matches the Rfam family "Bacterial small subunit ribosomal RNA", at positions 15 to 518 of the family's 1533-position model. The record is from RNAcentral.